GAAAAUCUCAGGUUCAGUGUGUGCGCGAAUCAGUUUCUGACUUUACGCAAAGUUGCCCUUGCAAAACGCUAAUCAGCAUGAAGAGAAUCGCGUUUCUCGUUUUCGUCUUCGCUGCUUCCGCAAUUGCCGAAGAUGCAAAGGAAUUAAAAGAAAUGGCAGAAAAUUUCGAGUCUGACGUGCAAACUGUGCAGUUGUGCCUAGACGAAGCGGAAACUACAGAAUCGGAAAUGAAGGCUAUAAAAGAGAAGAUCGACAAAUUGGACACACUGGAUGAUAACAUUGACGAUGAAACUAAGAAAUCUUUGGAAAAGACCAAUAGAUUCAUAGCCUGCAUGUUGGAGAAGAAAGAAAUGAUGGUAGACUCGAAAUUGAAUGUGGAUAAAAUACUGGAAGCUAUAGAGAAGGAUAGUAAAUACCACGUUAAGCAGGACGAAGUAAAGGAAUGCCUGAAUACACUAAACAAUGACAAAGAACUGGAUCGGGAAAUGAGGGCGAUGGGGAUGAUGAUAUGCUUAAUAAAAAACGAGAAAGACGAAGAUGAGAAGAAGUAAAGAGAAGUGUCGAUACGACGUUGCAUCUAUCUGGACCGGAAAUCGCGUGGGGCAAUGGGCAUCAAACAAACAAUACAUAAAAAUGGAACAACAUGUUGAUGAAGAAGUAUCAUUCGCACAUUACACGAGGUUAUUACCAAGAAAUCGUUAACUCGGAUUUUAAAAGGGAAAACCCCGAUGAUUAAUUUUCUUAAGAUGAUAACCUAUGUAUGCUGCGACGUCGACCCUCACGUUCAUUUUCUUCCGAUAAUAAAAUGUAAUUCGUAGAUUCGAUUGUUAAUAACACAUCAAUAGACGAUAAUCGAGAUA
Molecule: unclassified non-coding RNA, 860 nt
Filed under: Harpegnathos saltator (Jerdon's jumping ant)
Lineage: Eukaryota; Metazoa; Arthropoda; Insecta; Hymenoptera; Formicidae
Description: uncharacterized LOC105186860, transcript variant X1
Source: RNAcentral